CGAGCCCGCUCGGGAGAGUCCCCGGCCAUCGAGACCCUGGCGGGGGCGCCGAAGGAGCAACUCCUCCCCGGAAUCUCUCAGGCAUCCGUACCGUGUGGGAUAG
RNAcentral lists this non-coding RNA (103 nucleotides) under Streptomyces sp. Its description in RNAcentral is "Glycine sequence". It matches the Rfam family "Glycine riboswitch aptamer". Rfam says of the family: This family represents the bacterial glycine riboswitch. Glycine riboswitches usually consist of two metabolite-binding aptamers domains with similar structures in tandem. The aptamers cooperatively bind glycine to regulate the expression of downstream genes. The record is from RNAcentral. Lineage: Bacteria; Bacillati; Actinomycetota; Actinomycetes; Kitasatosporales; Streptomycetaceae.